GGGCGUUAAGUUGCAGGGUAUAGACCCGAAACCCGGUGAUCUAGCCAUGGGCAGGUUGAAGGUUGGGUAACACUAACUGGAGGACCGAACCGACUAAUGUUGAAAAAUUAGCGGAUGACUUGUGGCUGGGGGUGAAAGGCCAAUCAAACCGGGAGAUAGCUGGUUCUCCCCGAAAGCUAUUUAGGUAGCGCCUCGUGAAUUCAUCUCCGGGGGUAGAGCACUGUUUCGGCAAGGGGGUCAUCCCGACUUACCAACCCGAUGCAAACUGCGAAUACCGGAGAAUGUUAUUACGGGAGACACACGGCGGGUGCUAACGUCCGUCGUGAAGAGGGAAACAACCCAGACCGCCAGCUAAGGUCCCAAAGUCAUGGUUAAGUGGGAAACGAUGUGGGAAGGCCCAGACAGCCAGGAUGUUGGCUUAGAAGCAGCCAUCAUUUAAAGAAAGCGUAAUAGCUCACUGGUCGAGUCGGCCUGCGCGGAAGAUGUAACGGGGCUAAACCAUGCACCGAAGCUGCGGCAGCGACGCUUAUGCGUUGUUGGGUAGGGGAGCGUUCUGUAAGCCUGUGAAGGUGUGCUGUGAGGUAUGCUGGAGGUAUCAGAAGUGCGAAUGCUGACAUAAGUAACGAUAAAGCGGGUGAAAAGCCCGCUCGCCGGAAGACCAAGGGUUCCUGUCCAACGUUAAUCGGGGCAGGGUGAGUCGACCCCUAAGGCGAGGCCGAAAGGCGUAGUCGAUGGGAAACAGGUUAAUAUUCCUGUACUUGGUGUUACUGCGAAGGGGGGACGGAGAAGGCUAUGUUGGCCGGGCGACGGUUGUCCCGGUUUAAGCGUGUAGGCUGGUUUUCCAGGCAAAUCCGGAAAAUCAAGGCCGAGGCGUGAUGACGAGGCACUACGGUGCUGAAGCAACAAAUGCCCUGCUUCCAGGAAAAGCCUCUAAGCAUCAGGUAACAUCAAAUCGUACCCCAAACCGACACAGGUGGUCAGGUAGAGAAUACCAAGGCGCUUGAGAGAACUCGGGUGAAGGAACUAGGCAAAAUGGUGCCGUAACUUCGGGAGAAGGCACGCUGAUACGUAGGUGAAGCGACUUGCUCGUGGAGCUGAAAUCAGUCGAAGAUACCAGCUGGCUGCAACUGUUUAUUAAAAACACAGCACUGUGCAAACACGAAAGUGGACGUAUACGGUGUGACGCCUGCCCGGUGCCGGAAGGUUAAUUGAUGGGGUUAGCGCAAGCGAAGCUCUUGAUCGAAGCCCCGGUAAACGGCGGCCGUAACUAUAACGGUCCUAAGGUAGCGAAAUUCCUUGUCGGGUAAGUUCCGACCUGCACGAAUGGCGUAAUGAUGGCCAGGCUGUCUCCACCCGAGACUCAGUGAAAUUGAACUCGCUGUGAAGAUGCAGUGUACCCGCGGCAAGACGGAAAGACCCCGUGAACCUUUACUAUAGCUUGACACUGAACAUUGAGCCUUGAUGUGUAGGAUAGGUGGGAGGCUUUGAAGUGUGGACGCCAGUCUGCAUGGAGCCGACCUUGAAAUACCACCCUUUAAUGUUUGAUGUUCUAACGUGGACCCGUGAUCCGGGUUGCGGACAGUGUCUGGUGGGUAGUUUGACUGGGGCGGUCUCCUCCUAAAGAGUAACGGAGGAGCACGAAGGUUGGCUAAUCCUGGUCGGACAUCAGGAGGUUAGUGCAAUGGCAUAAGCCAGCUUGACUGCGAGCGUGACGGCGCGAGCAGGUGCGAAAGCAGGUCAUAGUGAUCCGGUGGUUCUGAAUGGAAGGGCCAUCGCUCAACGGAUAAAAGGUACUCCGGGGAUAACAGGCUGAUACCGCCCAAGAGUUCAUAUCGACGGCGGUGUUUGGCACCUCGAUGUCGGCUCAUCACAUCCUGGGGCUGAAGUAGGUCCCAAGGGUAUGGCUGUUCGCCAUUUAAAGUGGUACGCGAGCUGGGUUUAGAACGUCGUGAGACAGUUCGGUCCCUAUCUGCCGUGGGCGCUGGAGAACUGAGGGGGGCUGCUCCUAGUACGAGAGGACCGGAGUGGACGCAUCACUGGUGUUCGGGUUGUCAUGCCAAUGGCACUGCCCGGUAGCUAAAUGCGGAAGAGAUAAGUGCUGAAAGCAUCUAAGCACGAAACUUGCCCCGAGAUGAGUUCUCCCUGACCCUUUAAGGGUCCUGAAGGAACGUUGAAGACGACGACGUUGAUAGGCCGGGUGUGUAAGCGCAGCGAUGCGUUGAGCUAACCGGUACUAAUGAACCGUGAGGCUUAACCUU
Molecule: ribosomal RNA, 2258 nt
Filed under: Shigella flexneri
Lineage: Bacteria; Pseudomonadati; Pseudomonadota; Gammaproteobacteria; Enterobacterales; Enterobacteriaceae
Description: partial 23S ribosomal RNA
Rfam family: Bacterial large subunit ribosomal RNA
Source: RNAcentral